RNAcentral lists this ribosomal RNA (253 nucleotides) under uncultured bacterium. RNAcentral's name for it is "partial 16S ribosomal RNA". It matches the Rfam family "Bacterial small subunit ribosomal RNA", at positions 524 to 776 of the family's 1533-position model. The record is from RNAcentral.
GACAGGGGAUGGAAGCGUUAUCCGGAAUGAUUGGGCGUAAAGCGUCUGUAGGUGGCUUUUUAAGUCUGCCGUCAAAUCCCAGGGCUCAACCCUGGCCAGGCGGUGGAGACUACUAAGCUGGAGUACGGUAGGGGCAGAGGGAAUUUCCGGUGGAGCGGUGAAAUGCGUAGAUAUCGGAAAGAACACCAAGGGCGAAGGCACUCUGCUGGGCCGAAACUGACACUGAGAGACGAGAGCUAGGGGAGCAAAUGGG